UACGUAGGGUGCGAGCGUUAAUCGGAAUUACUGGGCGUAAAGCGUACGCAGGCGGCAGCGCAAGACAGGUGUGAAAUCCCCGGGCUUAACCUGGGAACUGCAUUUGUGACUGCGCGGCUAGAGUCCGUAAGCGGGGGGUGGAAUUCCACGUGUAGCAGUGAAAUGCGUAGAGAUGUGGAGGAACACCGAUGGCGAAGGCAGCCCCCUGGGAUGAGACUGACGCUCAUGUACGAAAGCGUGGGGAGCAAACAGG
RNAcentral lists this ribosomal RNA (253 nucleotides) under uncultured bacterium. RNAcentral describes it as "partial 16S ribosomal RNA". It matches the Rfam family "Bacterial small subunit ribosomal RNA", at positions 524 to 776 of the family's 1533-position model. The record is from RNAcentral.